RNAcentral lists this long non-coding RNA (201 nucleotides) under Panax ginseng (ginseng). RNAcentral describes it as "long non-coding RNA (PGIN_LNC008698)". The record is from RNAcentral. Lineage: Eukaryota; Viridiplantae; Streptophyta; Magnoliopsida; Apiales; Araliaceae.
UGCGUUAAUAUUUUAUAUUAUUGUUGUUUCAAUAAUUGUUAGUGCACAGUAUUUUCCAUUAUCAGAUCAAUAAUUCAUAUUAUUUGAAUAAUAUUAUUAGAUAACAUUAUUGGCAAUGUCUAGAAAGUUCUGUCGAGGAUAGGUUAGAUAAUCUAAUUGCGCGCCAGUAAGGAGAAAUCCUUAUUGGAAAGCCCCCUCUUU